Molecule: ribosomal RNA, 253 nt
Filed under: uncultured bacterium
Lineage: Bacteria
Description: partial 16S ribosomal RNA
Rfam family: Bacterial small subunit ribosomal RNA
Source: RNAcentral
UACGAGGGGGGCGAGCGUUGUUCGGAAUUAUUGGGCGUAAAGGGCGCGUAGGCGGCCGGAUAAGUCUUGUGUGAAAUCUUCGGGCUCAACUCGAAGUCUGCACAGGAAACUAUCUGGCUUGAGUGUGGGAGAGGUGAGUGGAAUUCCUGGUGUAGCGGUGAAAUGCGUAGAGAUCGGGAGGAACAUCUGUGGCGAAGGCGGCCACCUGGACCUACACUGACACUGAGGCACGAAAGCGUGGGGAGCAAACAGG